This 375-nucleotide ribosomal RNA is filed under the name uncultured organism. RNAcentral's name for it is "bacterial SSU rRNA". It matches the Rfam family "Bacterial small subunit ribosomal RNA", at positions 527 to 896 of the family's 1533-position model. The record is from RNAcentral.
GGAGGGUGCGAGCGUUGUCCGGAAUCAUUGGGCGUAAAGGGCGCGUAGGUGGCCCGGUCAGUCGGUGGUGAAAGCGCGGGGCUAACUCCGCGUCGGCCGUCGAUACUGGCGGGGCUGGAGCACUGUAGAGGCAGGCGGAACUCCGGGUGUAGCGGUGGAAUGCGUAGAGAUCCGGAAGAACACCGGUGGCGAAGGCGGCCUGCUGGGCAGUUGCUGACACUGAGGCGCGACAGCGUGGGGAGACAAACAGGAUUAGACUACCCUGGUAGUCCACGACCGUAAACGAGUGGGCACUAGGCGCUUGGGGGAGCGACCCUCCGAGGGCCGGCGCUAACGCAUUAAGUGCCCCGCCUGGGGAGUACGGCCGCAAGGCUG